UUACCAAAAACAUAGGUUUCUGCUAAGUCGAAAGACUAUGUAUAGGAGCUGACGCCGGCCCGGUGCUGGAAGGUUAAGGGGAUCUGUUAGAGCAAUCGAAGGAGUGAACUUAAGCCCCAGUAAACGGCGGCCGUAACUAUAACGGUCCUAAGGUAGCGAAAUUCCUUGUCGGGUAAGUUCCGACCCGCACGAAAGGCGUAACGAUUUGGGCACUGUCUCAACAACAGACUCGGUGAAAUUGUAAUUCCGGUGAAGAUGCCGGAUACCUGCGACAGGACGGAAAGACCCCAUGGAGCUUUACUGUAGCUUGACAUUGGGUCUUGGUACUACAUGUACAGGAUAGGUGGGAGGCUUUGAAACCAGGACGCCAGUUUUGGCGGAGCCAUCCUUGGGAUACCACCCUUGUAGUACUGGGACUCUAACCAUAGGCCAUGAAUCUGGUCUUGGGACACUGUCAGGUGGGCAGUUUGACUGGGGCGGUCGCCUCCCAAAAGGUAACGGAGGCGCUCAAAGGUUCUCUCAGUACGGUCGGAAAUCGUACGUAGAGUGUAAAGGCAAAAGAGAGCUUGAUUGCAAGACAUACAGGUCGAGCAAGGAUGAAAAUCGGACUUAGUGAUCCGGUGGUUCUGCGUGGAAGGGCCAUCGCUCAACGGAUAAAAGCUACCCUGGGGAUAACAGGCUUAUCUCCCCCAAGAGUCCACAUCGACGGGGAGGUUUGGCACCUCGAUGUCGGCUCAUCACAUCCUGGGGCUGUAGUAGGUCCCAAGGGUUGGGCUGUUCGCCCAUUAAAGUGGUACGCGAGCUGGGUUCAGAACGUCGUGAGACAGUUCGGUCCCUAUCCGUCGCAGGCGUAGGAAAUUUGAGAAGACCUGUCCUUAGUACGAGAGGACCGGGAUGGACGUACCUCUGGUGUACCAGUUGUCCUGCCAAGGGCAUGGCUGGGUAGCUAUGUACGGAAUGGAUAAGCGCUGAAAGCAUCUAAGCGCGAAGCCAACUUCAAGAUAAGAUUUCCCACCGCAAGGGUAAGACCCCAGAAAGACUAUCUGGUUGAUAGGUCGAAGGUGUAAGUUCAGCAAUGUAUUUAGCUUAUCGAUACUAAUAGGUCGAGGACUUGACCAAU
RNAcentral lists this ribosomal RNA (1120 nucleotides) under Escherichia coli. RNAcentral's name for it is "partial 23S ribosomal RNA". It matches the Rfam family "Bacterial large subunit ribosomal RNA", at positions 1804 to 2925 of the family's 2925-position model. Lineage: Bacteria; Pseudomonadati; Pseudomonadota; Gammaproteobacteria; Enterobacterales; Enterobacteriaceae. The record is from RNAcentral.